CGGCCGCGUCGACGAACGAACGCUGGCGGCAGGCCUAACACAUGCAAGUCGAGCGAGGACUUCGGGUUCUAGCGGCGGACGGGUGAGUAACGCGUGGGAAUGUGCCCUUCUCUACGGAAUAGCCCUGGGAAACUGGGAGUAAUACCGUAUACGCCCUUUUGGGGAAAGAUUUAUCGGAGAAGGAUCAGCCCGCGUUGGAUUAGGUAGUUGGUGGGGUAAUGGCCUACCAAGCCGACGAUCCAUAGCUGGUUUGAGAGGAUGAUCAGCCACACUGGGACUGAGACACGGCCCAGACUCCUACGGGAGGCAGCAGUGGGGAAUCUUAGACAAUGGGGGCAACCCUGAUACUAGCCAUGCCGCGUGAGUGAUGAAGGCCUUAGGGUUGUAAAGCUCUUUCAGCUGGGAAGAUAAUGACGGUACCAGCAGAAGAAGCCCCGGCUAACUCCGUGCCAGGUCGACGCGGCCG
RNAcentral lists this ribosomal RNA (466 nucleotides) under uncultured Paracoccus sp. RNAcentral describes it as "bacterial SSU rRNA". It matches the Rfam family "Bacterial small subunit ribosomal RNA", at positions 27 to 523 of the family's 1533-position model. Lineage: Bacteria; Pseudomonadati; Pseudomonadota; Alphaproteobacteria; Rhodobacterales; Paracoccaceae. The record is from RNAcentral.